Long non-coding RNA from Magnolia sinica, 1426 nucleotides. RefSeq lists it as uncharacterized. The transcript is spliced from 3 exons. Lineage: Eukaryota; Viridiplantae; Streptophyta; Magnoliopsida; Magnoliales; Magnoliaceae. The record is from RefSeq and is a predicted model, not a curated record.
UAAAUGCUUCAACUGAUUUUAUAGUCCUUUUCCACAAACAAGCAUCCACGAAUCAGAGGUUAGGAUUGCGUUGCAUUUUACAGGAUUCACAGGGCUGUCUUACAGACGCAGGUGAGGUUUUUGAGAUAAUGUAUAUUCAUUCACCCUUCUGUAGGUGGUUUUGUUCUUGUCUGACAGUCUUAAACUAAAGCCUUCAAAACCAUUUGAGUUUGGUUUGCUGUUAAACAAUGGCUUGUUUUCCAGAGCUUUAUAUGCACUGUUUGGUUAAAUUAUAGAAAUAUCUGAGCAACUGUGUUUGGAUUGUUGCUGGCGAGCAUAUUUCCUUUGUUUAUGAAUUCUUUGUUGCAUCUGCAUUCUUGUAUAUCCGGCCAGGCAGGCUGACCUGUGUUUUAAAGCCCAAGCUUUUUAGUACUAUAUCUGAAAACCUUACCAACACUUACCUUCAACAGCAAUGGUAAGAUGAAGAUUCCAGCAUGCCCCCCAAAAACUAGCACGUCAAUAUCAACGAGCUUCAUAUUCUUCUUUGGAAUAUGGAUGACGUCGAUGUCGAUUACGAUUUGAUUUUUAUAUGGAUGCCUAUUCAAAAAAUGAUGUAUGUAGAGUUGUUGGUUGACAUGAGCUAGUUUUUGGCUGCAGGUAGUUGAUUAUGGAGUUCACGGGCUUGGGGUAUUUCUUCUAUUACCUACCUUGUCAAUUCCAUGUUGAAUUGCCUCAUUUUCUCUUUGGAAGUGGUGUUCAUUUUCCUGUUAUUUCUGUUUUGUGGCAUGCCUUACACGACAUGAGAAGUGGUGUUCUGACCGUCUAGUUUUUCUUUCUUUGCAAAUUUGUUAUGGUAAUGUUAUUGUUGUAGGGGAUGACGCAACAGAUCCUCUAGUAUUGUGCACGUGAAUGGCUUGAAACCUAAGUGCAUAUGAUGUGUUUGAUACAAUGACAUCCAUAAAUGCUUAUACCAUGGAAUUGGAGGCUGAAGUUGCAAAACUUAAAAGAGGAGAACAAUGAAUUACAGAAGAAACAGUCUCUUGCAGUGGAUCAUGGCGAACCUGGUGAAGCAUCAGGAUGUGCAGGCGAAGCUGGUGGAAGAGAUCGAUUGGGUUGUGGGGGAUGGAUGAGAAAACAUUGAAGAGGAGGAUUUGCAGUGGAUGUCAUAUCUAAAGGCAGUGAUCAUUCUAGAAAAGAGCAAGGAAUUGUUGGAUUAUAGAAGCCUGGAAAUGAAAUGUUGAAUUGAAAUUGGAAAUUGGAAUUGAAGUUGAAAUGUGUACUGGAAAAGAAGGAAAAGAUUAAAGUGUGAAUCAUUCUAUUUUGUUUUUCUUUUAUUUGUGUAAUUAUCUGGCAUAUAAUACAAGUAGAUUACAUACCCCACUCUCUCUCUCAUACAAUGAACAAAGGGGUUUUAAAUUGUUCUUAAAAUUCUGUCCUAAAAUUCGAC